This 478-nucleotide ribosomal RNA is filed under the name uncultured bacterium. Its description in RNAcentral is "partial 16S ribosomal RNA". It matches the Rfam family "Bacterial small subunit ribosomal RNA", at positions 28 to 507 of the family's 1533-position model. The record is from RNAcentral.
GAUGAACGCUGGCGGCGUGCUUAACACAUGCAAGUCGAACGAGAAGUGAAGACGGAAACCUUCGGGCGGAAGGCUUUAUUUCGAGUGGCGGACGGGUGAGUAACGCGUGGGUAACCUGCCUCAUACAGGGGGAUAACAGUUGGAAACGACUGUUAAUACCGCAUAAGACCACAGCACCGCAUGGUGCGGGGGUAAAAACUCCGGUGGUAUGAGAUGGACCCGCGUUCGAUUAGCCAGUUGGCGGGGUAACGGCCCACCAAAGCGACGAUCGAUAGCCGAUCUGAGAGGAUGACCGGCCACAUUGGGACUGAGACACGGCCCAAACUCCUACGGGAGGCAGCAGUGGGGAAUAUUGCACAAUGGGGGAAACCCUGAUGCAGCGACGCCGCGUGAGUGAAGAAGUAUUUCGGUAUGUAAAGCUCUAUCAGCAGGGAAGAAAAUGACGGUACCUGAGUAGGAAGCCCCGGCUAACUACGUG